Molecule: long non-coding RNA, 1250 nt
Organism: Esox lucius (northern pike)
Lineage: Eukaryota; Metazoa; Chordata; Actinopteri; Esociformes; Esocidae
Exons: 3
Source: RefSeq, a predicted model, not a curated record
CACAGAUCAAAAACUCUGGACACGGAUACAAAUCACGAUCUACUGAUACACUGUCCAGAAAUCUAUAGAUUAAUGAAUACGAAGCUGUUUUAAUGGGUUGCAAAUGUUUUUUAUGGGGUUCGCCUGAAGUUAAUGCAAAAUGUUAGCUGACCACAAUUAGAAAAUGGGAAUUUAGGGGAAGGUAAAGGUUUAACACGUUUAGUAAAGAAUUCCAUUCUGCCAGCAUGCGGGACGUCCUGGAUUGCACAUUCAUUUGAUUCAGGAGAUAGAUGGACCAGGAUAAGAACCUUGAAGAACCGGUGCCCAGUAGGUGUUGAUCAUCAUAGCUGGUCUACCGACACCAUUGGAGGUGCAACAGGCAAUAAUGUCCAGCAGAGCAGAGCUCGGAUGCUGCAGACUAUCACAGACAGGCUACCGGGCCUAAAAGGAGUUCAUAUCUUUGGGGUGGUGUAAACUAUGGAUGCAUCUACGAAACACGACCCCUGCUCACAUCCAGUCACAAAGGGUAACUGAGCAGUAGCCUUUCAUUCAGUUUUGGGCUGGUAACUGAAAUGUUCAAAUUCCCCAGCUGAAAGUUCUUACUUCAGCUGGGGAAGGCCUAAACUUUAUUGAGCAAGGCCUAAACUUUAUUGCUCCUGUUGGUCUCUCUGGCUCACAGCACCUGCUAACCCACCAAAAUGUAAUAAUUUGUGAAUGGAGAAGUGAUCGGAAUAUGUAGACUAUGACAUCUAGCUGCUUGAGUAAAGCUUUGGUUAAAGCCCUGAACUACCCAAUUUAAAAUUGAAGGGCUAGGCAUUUUACCUGCACAUUUCCGAUUGUUGAUUUCUUUCUUUGGGAAUGUUAGCGAGUGUUUCCCUCUAAUUGGAUCAGGUGGGCAAGCUGUUAUAUAUGGAAUAACGGUGGGUUCCAGAGGAGUUUUGACAACCACUGCAAAAAUCCACCCGCCAUGUAAUCUCCAGUCCAGAAUCCAAACCACCUGAACAUUUUAUUUUGUGCUGACUUUCUAUUAGUCCUAGACACAUGAGGGUGUAGAGGGAAACACACUAGAUACCUUGAGGGAACGGAGGACCAGGCCACUUUCAGGGCAUGUCCUCCUGAGUCAGUUUACUGCUUCCAGUACCUCUAUAGUUCCAGCCAACUUUUUCAUCCUCUUUAUGUUACGAGAAAUGUUUUUCCAGUCUGGAUGCAUCUUGUCCCGUAGUUGGAUACAUCUUUGACAUACUGUAUGCAGACUCAGUAACUACCAUGGG